CAAACGUUAAAAUGUAUUACUGGUACAGGAAACCUUAAAUUACAGUGAACUUGGCACACCACUUCUGAAAGGUUGCCGACCCCUGGCGUAGAGUGAACAGUGAACUGUUCCAGCCAUGAAUACAAACCCCUGGAAUUGGGCUGCCAGUGGGAUGGAGACAGUGUCUCACUCCACAGCACUAGAUGACAGGACCACAGUUAAAAAGGCUCAUCACUGUGUGCUAGAAUUCUGUGAUUGCAAAUCAGUGGAAUAAAUUUAAUGGUUCAGUGGGGUAGUAUUGUAGAGCUGGGCUUGGAAAGAUAUUUUAGAUUUUAUCAACAUUCAUGGGUAACAUGCAUGUUUGUUUGCAGUAUGGCAAAUCUGAGAUGGGCAAAAGAAUCCAGUUAUACAAAUAUCUUGAAGCCGUUUUUCCAUGGCUCUCCAAUACUCCUCUAAGAUAUGACUCUUGAGUAAGUCCUAUUGUGAUUUCUAAUUCAUACACCCCUUCAGUCCUGCUAUGUUAACUGUAGCCCUGGCAGCUUUGUGAUGAUUGGGCUACAUCCAUCACUGAAUUCAAAAGUCACAUGCUUUAAGGCUUACAUGAUUUACAGUACAAUACUUACAUCAGAGCAUUGGAGAUUUUAACUCAGUGGGAGCCAGGGACUAUCAGAGGCUGCCAGAGCUGCUGGGUUCUGCAAUCAGUUCUUUCAAAAUAUAGAGGAUACAGGUGUGUCUGGGAUGUUUAUGAUGGAGGAAGAAGCAGGUCUGUUGGGAAAGUCAUGGGGAGGAAGGAAGAUGGCGCAGGUGGGGUUAGGAGCUGGCAGUGCCUCAUCCAACAGGAGCAGAACCACAGGUAAGGUUUGGGGUCAGUUUGUUUUGGGGGGAUAGCCAAAGAUUCAGGACAGUUCUGAACUUCUUUGCCUAAGACCCCAUUUAAACAUAGGGCUUGACUGUGAAUUUCUAUUUGUCCUAGGCAGUUCCUUUUUUUGGCCGUUUCAGUUCAGUGUUAAUGGUUGUGUGUAAAAUAAUUCUACAUAUAGGCAGGUCAUAAACCUCAGGAAAACAGGGUUUAUAAUAGAAGGGCCAUGGUGCAGAGAUCUGUUCUGUGGUACAGUAUUUACAUGGCCUAACAUUUCCCAUUAACACUCUUGUUUAUGGAAGACCCACCUGUUCUGGCUCUCAGUUGGCACCUAGGACGUCAGCAGAACUGUUGAUCAGGACAAACUAGUGCUUCUAAUGCCAUUAAGCAGAACAAUUUAGAGUGUAGCAGUGCGGUGUUUUUAAGCAGUGGUAUCUCUGCUCUCUCAUGGAACAAGUUAUUUUAAUUAAAGUAGUCCUAGUGGCACAGGAGCUAUUGAAAGAAAACAUGUCACUAGUUAUAACUUUCAAACAAACUGACAUUUGAUUGGAUCUAUACAACGGAGGUAUUUCCAAAACAAACAAAAUAUGCUGGCAUUGAAGUACUUUUAUGCUACAUCAGAUAAGUUUGUUUAAUUAAGACACACUUAAACCUUGACGUUUGCUUUGACACAUUUAGAUAUUUUAAUCUUUUUUCUAUCUCCCAUGGUCACAGUCUCUCACUUAAUCUUGUUUUAGAGACGAAGGAUGGUUUUGUGGUUAAGGUGCUGGAGAACUAGGCUGUAAACCUGACUCUGCCAUGGAAUUUAUCUAUAUAGAAUCUUGAGCAAGUCACUGGAUCAAUCUGUACGCUAUUAUCCUUCUGUAAAUUGGGAAAAAUAAUAAUUCUUGUCUUCUCUAUGUAGAUUGUAAUCUCUUUGGGACAGCAACUGUCUUUUAUUAAGUGUUUAUUAUUUAGUGCUACUGUAACACAAUUUUUAAAAAAUAUAAUGUAACAUCAUGUUAAUGCCAUGAGCAGCAGUUAAACUCUUCCUGAUCAUGUGCCAAUAGCUGAUGAAAUGUUAUAGGAAACAUGACUGACAGAGACAGCUUGGUUACCCUGCAUGGGGUUAAAUUUGACAUUUGGAAGAAAAAUCAGUUUCAGCAGCAAGCCAGAUCAAGACAUGCCUUCCAUAGCUAGUGCUGCCCACUGGGUACUAAUUAUGUCAUUGAUAUGGCAUGACUGUUCUGCUGUAGAGUAUGAUAGCUACAUGUCACCAGGCUGUGUUUCUCCCCAGCUCAAAAGCAUGUGCUGCCACACCCAGUCAUUUGCAAGGAGAUUUAUUAACUUACAGAGGCUAACAAACAAACAGGAAAAAAAAAGUCUAAACUUAGCAAAACAAACAAACAAAAAAUCUCAGCUUAGCCUCAGGGCUACCUCUCCCAAGGGUUUCUAGCACACCUGUUCCUGGUAACAUCCCAGUUUCCAUCAGCUCUGUUCCCACCCUGAAGCAGCCACCCCAGUGCUACUUCUUUGAGCCCCUUGCUCUAGGGACCCACCACAGGCAUUAGCUCUGCUCCAGUGUGGCUUUCCCUCCCAAUUAGCAGCCCUUUAUAGGCCCUCUGUAGGUACCCCCACCCCCUUUAAUUGGCUAGAUUGGGCUCACCUGCUCUGGUCCAGGGGCAAUGGCUCCAGCCUCCCUGUGACACUGCCCCUUGUUUGAACUUCUGAUGAACAAGUCAUUCAGAGUGGCCUAUUGACAUCAAGGCUACCAAGCUUCUCCUCCUCCUCCUCAUUUGGUGAGGGGUGGAGAAGGGCUGCAAAGAACAGAUGCCUAGCGAAGUCAUCACAUAUAUCAGCCAACUUGCCUUAAUUGUCCCAAUGGGGUACACUUAUUUAUAGGAAGCUCACCUUGACAUAUGUUACGUUUCACUAUAGUUCUCCUCCCUUACCCCUUAUCCAUGCUUUACUUAAAUCAUAAUUCAUUACCUAAAUCUGCUUCACAAAAUAUGGGAACUUCAUAAAGACCAGUAACAUCAUCUACCAAAUAACUAGUAGCAGGAAUCCAAAAUAAUUCCUACUUCAUAAAGCAAGUGCAAGCAGUACACAGAAAUAUAUAGAACCUUUGCAGGGUUUGAAAGAAAAAAAUACUUAUUCCAGAAUACUAAAAGGUAUUUGAUAUUUAGGAAGUUUCCACAGUUACACUGAUGGCACUUUAAAUUGUUUAUGUCACUGCUGGACCGAAAGGAGCAAAUUAUCUGGAUAGGUUAAACUACUAGUCUGCUUACAAUUACAGAUGAACUGGUAGUCAUGGUGGGAAAAUUUUCAAAGAUGUUCCUAGAAGACAAGGGCUAAGGGUUGUGUAACUGCUGUAUUCAGCCCAAGAACCCCCAAGAAAGUUGUUUUUGAGUCAGGUAGAAUUUCUCCUGAGGACUCCAAUUGCCAAACAACCCUCAGACCCCCCCUCCAACGCAGUUGAGGGCAAAAUCAAGACCAUAAUUUGGCCCUACUGCCUAUGAAGGUGGAGUCUCAUCCCUAAGAUGACUUUCCUUCCUAUAUUUCUAAGUUAAAACACUAGAAACUUCAGGAGUCUUAUAAAAUCUGUAAGUGCAGUUUGCAUAAUUGUCUUUCCACCCUCAGCCAUGGCUGACAUUGCCAAGAGUUCAGAACAGUUCUGCUGAAUGCUGCUGUACCUGUUCCUGUUUCCAUGGAAAUGGACAUUGGCUAAACACCUAGGACUCCCAAAUCAUGGACCAGGACUCCAUUGUGCUAGCGGCUGUACAGGCAUAGAACAAAAAGGAUUUUUCCCAGGGGUUGCCAAUGAAGGAUGUUAUGCAAGACAGAUACCCCUUGACUAUGGCCCCUCAACAGGAUAUUUACUCCUUUUAUCCCCUUCAAAGUCUGCAGCAUUGGAGAGGGGGAAGGGAUUGGCCCUUAUUAGUUGUUAUUUUAAAAGACUAAUAAUAAAGAUGUCAGGAGGACGGUGUUACCAAAAGAUGACAAGAUUACUUACUUGUCCAUUCCAUUAACAACAGUACCAGACGAGUCGGGUAUAGCUAUCACUGCCUUUCAGCACUAUGGUGGAAUACAUUAAGAAGAUUGGACCAGACAGAAGGAGAGAAAGAAAAGGAGAUGUUAAUAACUGCAUGAGUGAAUAUUAAAAUAAUGAGACAUUCAAUCUACUGUUAAUUCAUGUAGGUUAAUGCUAGCAGGGGAUUCAGGAAGGUUAAAGUUAGAGCCUUUCCUGGUUAAAAAUACCUUCUGCUUACUAAAGAAAAUUUCUUAUAUUCUGUAUCAAUGGAUAUAUACAAGUGUUGCUUGACUUAUCAAGAUUAUUAGGUCUUGUAUCACUCAGAUAAAGACAGAAAAUAAAAAGCCACGGAAAAGGAUUUUCCCCUUCAAACUCUUUAAUUAAAAAUAAAAUUAACAACUGAAAUUAUGUAUCUUUAUAUAAUAACAAAUCUAAGUAAGUAUGGGUGUGGAGUGGUGCCUAUACCAAAUAAUAUCAAAUGGAUAAAAAGCCAGACCAUGUACAUAUGUUGUUUAAUUUAAAAGAAGUGAUUGUUUCCCUAUGGCCUUGCAAACUGAUCACAGUUCUGUGUUGCUUUUAGUGAUUUGCUCUAUUAUGAGGUUUAUUCAGAACAGGUUAAGCCAUAUAGAUUCUUGUUGUCCUGCCGGAUUCAUCCAUGUUCUUAGGGCUGCCAUUUUAGAUAGCGUCAACAAUAGUAAUAGAGCUUUUAUAACAGUUUCACAAAAUGUUAACGUCAUUAACACCAAGGAUACACAACUGUGGGAUUUGAGAAAUAACAAUUUCCAACGUGUUAUUCAGUGUGUAUUGCCUAAAAGGCUUAUAUUAGUUGUCAGGACCAUAUUACAAGAAAAUAGGAGGUUUCUUGUAAUUUUCAUUUAUUACGACUGCUGUGCUUUUUUUGUAUAUUCUGUCAUCAAAGCCUGAUGAAAUAAAACUUCUAUAGAUGAUACAGGUUGGGAAAGAUAGUAUGUUUUUAUAGCUUUCAAACAGUGCUUUUGACUCAUUUCUGUAUUUAAAUAUUUAUUCAAAGGGCAAUGGUGCCUAUGAAGUUGCAUUGAGUUAGGUUCAUUAGUAUUUUACAGGUUGCUGGUAUAAACCCUUUAACAGGUCUUGGUAUCAACUUUUCAAUAGGAUGCAGUUACUAUAGAUGUUUGUGAGGACUGAAGUAUAAAACUAUAGCUUCUGCCCUGCAGAUAGUGCAGUCAAUGCUUAUAUGAAAUGCAUCUUUAUUGUUGGGUAUGCGAAACCCGCUAUUUAUGUGCUUUUAUGGCAAUAGCUUUUUAGGCCAAAACUUGUCCAUAUUUGGAAUGUCGAAUCAAUUUGUCCUUGUGAAAAGCCUGGGUCUCUCAUUAUUGACUGUACCCAUUAAGUUUUAUAUUGCAUUCAGAAAUUGUAUUUCUGAUGUUGUGCCAGAUCUUGGCUGUAACUUGUUUAUGGGGAUUGUCCAUAUAACUAAUCACUCUUAACAAAUAAAGGGGUUAGAAAGAUAACAAGGGGCCAAAUUUUUCAGCUCCCAGUCGAGUGCAUCCUCCAAAAUUUAGAGGGUAGACUACUGCUUUUUCAUGCACUCCACUUGAAUAUCUAUAAGGAAUAGUAUCAGAGGGGUAGCCGUGUUAGUCUGUAUCUACAAAAACAAUAAGGAGUCCGGUGGCACCUUAAAGACUAACCGAUAUAUUUGGGCAUAAGCUUUUGUGAGUAAAA
Long non-coding RNA from Chrysemys picta bellii (western painted turtle), 5549 nucleotides. RefSeq lists it as uncharacterized. Lineage: Eukaryota; Metazoa; Chordata; Testudines; Emydidae. The record is from RefSeq and is a predicted model, not a curated record.